RNAcentral lists this transfer RNA (72 nucleotides) under Camelus bactrianus (Bactrian camel). It matches the Rfam family "tRNA". Rfam says of the family: Transfer RNA (tRNA) molecules are approximately 80 nucleotides in length. Their secondary structure includes four short double-helical elements and three loops (D, anti-codon, and T loops). The record is from Rfam by way of RNAcentral. Lineage: Eukaryota; Metazoa; Chordata; Mammalia; Artiodactyla; Camelidae. RNAcentral also lists the same sequence under 2 other names.
CGGGGUAGAUCUCAGCGGUAGAGUGUGUGCUUAGCAUGCUUGAGGUCCUGGGUUCAAUCCCCAGUACCUCCA